This 2064-nucleotide unclassified non-coding RNA is filed under the name Hevea brasiliensis (rubber tree). The record is from RNAcentral. Lineage: Eukaryota; Viridiplantae; Streptophyta; Magnoliopsida; Malpighiales; Euphorbiaceae.
CUCCAGUGGGUCUCCCUCGGCUCAUAAACUAGUUGUCGAGCAGUUUGUUUUGAGCAGAAAAAAAGGAGUGCUUUGAAAUUGGAAAAGCAAACAAAUUAAAGAAUCAGAGAGGAGAAUGGCUUUGUGGAAAGGCUAAAAUUAUGAGAAUUAUUUUGUCAAAUUUAAUACAAUUAUAUUUAUGGUAAUAACAUAUUUUCCAGCGGAAAUUGCCGUGGUCUAAAAAUUGAAAAUUUUUUUGGAAUCACUGGAAAUUUCUUCUAGUGCCAGUCGGUCGAGUCCCCAUCAUAGAGACCACAACAGAAAUUUCUCCCAAAAUAUAAAGACAAGGUCGAAAUUCAGAACACGAACCAGCCCCACUGUCAUUGCAACUUGCUAGUCCGGUAUUGUUUGAUUUCAUAAAUCCAACACUAACAGCCAAGUUUUGCUGUCAGCCUCAAUGCUAUAAUUUCCUUUCCUAAUUCUUGAUGACAAAAGAAAUCCGGUAUAUAUAUAUAUAUAUAUAUCUCUGCGUUCUGUCUCUGUUUUCAGGUCAAGAGUUUUGGAUUAAAUGGAUCAUAACAAUGCUGUUGGUGUUGAUAACACAUUUAGAAGAAAAUUCGAUCGAGAAGAGUAUUUAGAACGAGCUCGUGAGCGUGAAAAGCAGGAGACUGAGUCGCGUUUCAAAUCCAAAUCUAAAGCUCCACCAGUGCAAAGAAAACCCUUGAAGCAUAGGGAUUAUGAAGUAGACCUUGAGUCUCGAUUGGGGAAAACUCAGGUUGUCACUCCUAUAGCACCUCUAAGCCAGCAGGUAUGUUAUAACCAUGUUCCUUCUUAACUUGUUUUGGUUAUCAUAUAAGAAUAUGCGAAUGUGAUUCUGUUCAGACUUUUGGUACGAGUAUGCUGCUCUGUGAUUAAGGAGAUAUUAUUGGCUUCUGUUGCCUGAGUUUAGUUUUGUCUCUCCCGCACAAGUAUUUCUUCAAUAUGCCAAUGUCUAUUUUGAUGCUUUUUGGAUGGACAUGGUGCCAUGUCUGCUUUAUUUGUUUUGCCACUCCAUAGAAGGAGAUGUUAUGAUUGUUGUUUGAUUGUUUUUAUAUGUUUAUUUUAGUUAAUUCUUUCUGAAUCCUCUCUUUUGCAGGCUGGAUACUAUUGUUCAGUAUGUGAAUGUGUGGUGAAGGAUUCUGCAAACUACUUGGAUCACAUCAAUGGAAAGAAACAUCAAAGAGCUUUGGGCAUGUCUAUGCGGGUGGAGCGGGCAUCUCUUGAACAGGUUCAACAGCGAUUUGAAAGUCUCAAGAAACGGAAAAGUCCUGGCAGCUUCACAGAGCAAGGUAAAACUUAAAACUCAUGCAGAACAUGCAAUGCUUUUGUGUAGUUUGUUAAAGCUUUACUCUUUCAUUUUUCUCAGAUCUUGAUGAAAGGAUCCUAAAACAGCAGCAAGAAGAGGAGGAAAGGAAGCGUCAACGCCGAGAAAGAAAGAAAGAGAAAAAGGCAAGUACUCUCUCUUAUGGAAAUUCCGAUAAAAAUAAAUUGAAACCUUUAGACAUAUGUCUAAGGGCAUGUGCAGUCUUUUGAUCUCGAGAAUACUGAGGCAGAGUUUCUAUAUCUGAAAUUUAAAUUUUCCAUUUUAAUUUCUCUUUUACUGAUAGAUUAUUCUACUGUAAAAACACUGUACCAUGUUGACCAUGAAAAUUGAUGGCCUGUUGCUGAUUCAUUUCUGGUUCUGGAACUUCUGGGUACAGAAAGAGAAGGCAGCAGAAGAGGAGGAAGCCGAUGUUGAUCCUGAUGUUGCUGCCAUGAUGGGAUUUGGUGGUUUCCGUUCAUCCAAAAAGUAAUCAUAAUGUUUGGUCUUUCUUUCCUACAGUAAAGGAGCUUUGCCAUGUAAUUUCUCUUUCAAUAUCUGUACGAGCACAGCUUAAAUUUUGGCAGCUGCCCUUUCAUGAAGUGAAAAUUUCAUGUUUUCCUUUUUUUGGAGAUUAUUCGUGAAAAAUGUCGCAAAUUUAACAUGGAUUGUAACUAAUACAUUUUGACACCAAAUCCCCCUUUGGGGAACUUGUGUUGAAAGUAAUUACAGUGAUUUUGAAAGCG